This is a long non-coding RNA of Dipodomys spectabilis (banner-tailed kangaroo rat), 1324 nucleotides long. RefSeq lists it as uncharacterized. The transcript is spliced from 2 exons. The record is from RefSeq and is a predicted model, not a curated record. Lineage: Eukaryota; Metazoa; Chordata; Mammalia; Rodentia; Heteromyidae.
CUAAAAAUAGUUUAUUUGUUUUUAUUAUUUUAAAACCAUUAAGGCAAAACUGUACCCUGAAAUUAACUCUUUACAUUCAUCAGUCUUACAGUGGACAUUCCCGGCACAUAAAUUCUCAUAAAUCCAGGAUAUAAAUCAAUACCUCCAGUCCAACUUCCUAAUAGGAAAAGGAAGAUCCAAGAUUUAAAAAAGAAAAUUAAGGUUAUAUCAAAGCCAUUUUCUAAUUGCCUGGGAACCAAUCAGUUAAUGUAACUAGAAAAAUUACCUUUGCCCUCUGUGCAAGGUCCUAGGCACCCCAUACCUGGACAGAACUGGGAGGAUUGUAAAGACACUGGAAUAGACUCAUAUGCUGAUGGGAACUUCUCUGCUCACCGAUGAAGGACUGAAAGCCCCCUCAUGCUCUGAGACAGUAAGGCACCAAAGACAGUGAAGGAGCUGGGGGAACCAAGCCCAGUCCUUGCUCUGGGGACCUGCAUGUUCUCAUGGCUGUCAAGACUGUCAGCCCUAGGGUUUUAGCAUAAUGACACUGGUUCCCAGAGGAAGUUACAGAGACUCGUCAGGAAGAAAUUUGGCACAAUACUGGGAAUGAGGGAUGAGGGCCUCAGGGGUCUGUGGUCUGCUUUAUGCUUUGUGCUGGCCAUUGGGAAGCUGCCAGAGAACCAGCAAGUGCAAAUACUUUCCAUCUAAGAGUUCUGAUUCUAGGAAAAGUUCUUUGGUAAUGACCAUAGGUGAUAAUUCCCUGAAGAGCAUAUUAACUGAAGAGCUGCUAACUAAACAAGAAUAGUUCAUAGUCCUGAUCAGAACACUGUGGUAGAAGUCAGUGGCCUCUGGCAUGGGCAGAAAUAAGGCAAGGCAGAUGUGCUUGUGGCAUGGAAGUAUGGUGAGGGAGGGGAUUAGCACGUUGGAAGUAGGUAGCGUGUGGCUCAGGAGACAGACACGGCCAGUUGGGACUGUGCAUGCACACAGGCAGUUACAUUUCAGUUUAUCUCCGCUUCCUUUGACUCUAGCAGACUCAAGAGCCAGCCUUUUUACAUCCUCAACAAUGAACACUGACCUACAAGAUUCCAGAUAUUUGUUAUUAGAGGCAUUAGUCAACUAUUUGCAUUAGGAGUCUUAAAAAAAAAACAAAACCUCAAAACCCAAUCACAGUAUUUAAGAUAUGGCUAUUUACGUAACUUUUUCCAUUAGUGUAAAAAUGCAGUAGUACCAACACAAAUAAUACUGUCAUUUUAACCAGAAAGGGUACUAAAGCUGAAGCCAUCUAUUGUGAGGUACCUUUCGUCUUGGGCCUGAAAAAAAAAAGACUGUGCCUUUAAAAAAAGAA